Molecule: ribosomal RNA, 3101 nt
Filed under: Pseudomonas aeruginosa
Lineage: Bacteria; Pseudomonadati; Pseudomonadota; Gammaproteobacteria; Pseudomonadales; Pseudomonadaceae
Description: bacterial LSU rRNA
Rfam family: Bacterial large subunit ribosomal RNA
Source: RNAcentral
AGAAGCGCAUACGGUGGAUGCCUUGGCAGUCAGAGGCGAUGAAAGACGUGGUAGCCUGCGAAAAGCUUCGGGGAGUCGGCAAACAGACUUUGAUCCGGAGAUCUCUGAAUGGGGGAACCCACCUAGGAUAACCUAGGUAUCUUGUACUGAAUCCAUAGGUGCAAGAGGCGAACCAGGGGAACUGAAACAUCUAAGUACCCUGAGGAAAAGAAAUCAACCGAGAUUCCCUUAGUAGUGGCGAGCGAACGGGGAUUAGCCCUUAAGCUUCAUUGAUUUUAGCGGAACGCUCUGGAAAGUGCGGCCAUAGUGGGUGAUAGCCCCGUACGCGAAAGGAUCUUUGAAGUGAAAUCGAGUAGGACGGAGCACGAGAAACUUUGUCUGAACAUGGGGGGACCAUCCUCCAAGGCUAAAUACUACUGACUGACCGAUAGUGAACCAGUACCGUGAGGGAAAGGCGAAAAGAACCCCGGAGAGGGGAGUGAAAUAGAACCUGAAACCGUAUGCGUACAAGCAGUGGGAGCCUACUUGUUAGGUGACUGCGUACCUUUUGUAUAAUGGGUCAGCGACUUAUAUUCAGUGGCAAGCUUAACCGUAUAGGGUAGGCGUAGCGAAAGCGAGUCUUAAUAGGGCGUUUAGUCGCUGGGUAUAGACCCGAAACCGGGCGAUCUAUCCAUGAGCAGGUUGAAGGUUAGGUAACACUGACUGGAGGACCGAACCCACUCCCGUUGAAAAGGUAGGGGAUGACUUGUGGAUCGGAGUGAAAGGCUAAUCAAGCUCGGAGAUAGCUGGUUCUCCUCGAAAGCUAUUUAGGUAGCGCCUCAUGUAUCACUCUGGGGGGUAGAGCACUGUUUCGGCUAGGGGGUCAUCCCGACUUACCAAACCGAUGCAAACUCCGAAUACCCAGAAGUGCCGAGCAUGGGAGACACACGGCGGGUGCUAACGUCCGUCGUGAAAAGGGAAACAACCCAGACCGCCAGCUAAGGUCCCAAAGUUGUGGUUAAGUGGUAAACGAUGUGGGAAGGCUUAGACAGCUAGGAGGUUGGCUUAGAAGCAGCCAUCCUUUAAAGAAAGCGUAAUAGCUCACUAGUCGAGUCGGCCUGCGCGGAAGAUGUAACGGGGCUCAAACCACACACCGAAGCUGCGGGUGUCACGUAAGUGACGCGGUAGAGGAGCGUUCUGUAAGCCUGUGAAGGUGAGUUGAGAAGCUUGCUGGAGGUAUCAGAAGUGCGAAUGCUGACAUGAGUAACGACAAUGGGUGUGAAAAACACCCACGCCGAAAGACCAAGGGUUCCUGCGCAACGUUAAUCGACGCAGGGUUAGUCGGUUCCUAAGGCGAGGCUGAAAAGCGUAGUCGAUGGGAAACAGGUUAAUAUUCCUGUACUUCUGGUUACUGCGAUGGAGGGACGGAGAAGGCUAGGCCAGCUUGGCGUUGGUUGUCCAAGUUUAAGGUGGUAGGCUGAAAUCUUAGGUAAAUCCGGGGUUUCAAGGCCGAGAGCUGAUGACGAGUCGUCUUUUAGAUGACGAAGUGGUUGAUGCCAUGCUUCCAAGAAAAGCUUCUAAGCUUCAGGUAACCAGGAACCGUACCCCAAACCGACACAGGUGGUCGGGUAGAGAAUACCAAGGCGCUUGAGAGAACUCGGGUGAAGGAACUAGGCAAAAUGGCACCGUAACUUCGGGAGAAGGUGCGCCGGCUAGGGUGAAGGAUUUACUCCGUAAGCUNNNNNNNNNNAGAAGGCUAGGCCAGCUUGGCGUUGGUUGUCCAAGUUUAAGGUGGUAGGCUGAAAUCUUAGGUAAAUCCGGGGUUUCAAGGCCGAGAGCUGAUGACGAGUUNNNNNNNNNNCAAGGCGCUUGAGAGAACUCGGGUGAAGGAACUAGGCAAAAUGGCACCGUAACUUCGGGAGAAGGUGCGCCGGCUAGGGUGAAGGAUUUACUCCGUAAGCCCUGGCUGGUCGAAGAUACCAGGCCGCUGCGACUGUUUAUUAAAAACACAGCACUCUGCAAACACGAAAGUGGACGUAUAGGGUGUGACGCCUGCCCGGUGCCGGAAGGUUAAUUGAUGGGGUUAGCGCAAGCGAAGCUCUUGAUCGAAGCCCCGGUAAACGGCGGCCGUAACUAUAACGGUCCUAAGGUAGCGAAAUUCCUUGUCGGGUAAGUUCCGACCUGCACGAAUGGCGUAACGAUGGCGGCGCUGUCUCCACCCGAGACUCAGUGAAAUUGAAAUCGCUGUGAAGAUGCAGUGUAUCCGCGGCUAGACGGAAAGACCCCGUGAACCUUUACUGUAGCUUUGCACUGGACUUUGAGCCUGCUUGUGUAGGAUAGGUGGGAGGCUUUGAAGCGUGGACGCCAGUUCGCGUGGAGCCAUCCUUGAAAUACCACCCUGGCAUGCUUGAGGUUCUAACUCUGGUCCGUGAUCCGGAUCGAGGACAGUGUAUGGUGGGCAGUUUGACUGGGGCGGUCUCCUCCUAAAGAGUAACGGAGGAGUACGAAGGUGCGCUCAGACCGGUCGGAAAUCGGUCGCAGAGUAUAAAGGCAAAAGCGCGCUUGACUGCGAGACAGACACGUCGAGCAGGUACGAAAGUAGGUCUUAGUGAUCCGGUGGUUCUGUAUGGAAGGGCCAUCGCUCAACGGAUAAAAGGUACUCCGGGGAUAACAGGCUGAUACCGCCCAAGAGUUCAUAUCGACGGCGGUGUUUGGCACCUCGAUGUCGGCUCAUCACAUCCUGGGGCUGAAGCCGGUCCCAAGGGUAUGGCUGUUCGCCAUUUAAAGUGGUACGCGAGCUGGGUUUAGAACGUCGUGAGACAGUUCGGUCCCUAUCUGCCGUGGACGUUUGAGAUUUGAGAGGGGCUGCUCCUAGUACGAGAGGACCGGAGUGGACGAACCUCUGGUGUUCCGGUUGUCACGCCAGUGGCAUUGCCGGGUAGCUAUGUUCGGAAAAGAUAACCGCUGAAAGCAUCUAAGCGGGAAACUUGCCUCAAGAUGAGAUCUCACUGGGAACUUGAUUCCCCUGAAGGGCCGUCGAAGACUACGACGUUGAUAGGCUGGGUGUGUAAGCGUUGUGAGGCGUUGAGCUAACCAGUACUAAUUGCCCGUGAGGCUUGACC